AUUGAACGCUGGCGGCAUGCUUUACACAUGCAAGUCGAACGGCAGCACGGGCUUCGGCCUGGUGGCGAGUGGCGAACGGGUGAGUAAUACAUCGGAACGUACCCAGUAGUGGGGGAUAGCCCGGCGAAAGCCGGAUUAAUACCGCAUAUGCCCUGAGGGGGAAAGCGGGGGACCGAAAGGCCUCGCGCCAUUGGAGCGGCCGAUGGCUGAUUAGCUAGUUGGUGGGGUAAGGGCCUAACAAGGCCACGAUCAGUAGCCGGUCUGAGAGGACAACCAGCCAAACUGGGAUGUAGACACGGACAAGACACCCACGGGAGGCAGCAGGGGGGAAUUUUGGACAAUGGGCGAAAGCCUGAUACAGCAAUGCCGCGUGUGCGAAGAAGGCCUUCGGGUUGUAAAGCACUUUUGUUUGGAAAGAAAAGGUGUGGGUUAAUACCCUGGACUGAUGACGGUACCAAUCGAAUAAGCACCGGCUAACUACGUGCCAGCCGCCGCCGUAA
RNAcentral lists this ribosomal RNA (500 nucleotides) under uncultured bacterium. Its description in RNAcentral is "partial 16S ribosomal RNA". It matches the Rfam family "Bacterial small subunit ribosomal RNA", at positions 29 to 523 of the family's 1533-position model. The record is from RNAcentral.